This 462-nucleotide ribosomal RNA is filed under the name uncultured bacterium. RNAcentral describes it as "partial 16S ribosomal RNA". It matches the Rfam family "Bacterial small subunit ribosomal RNA", at positions 28 to 507 of the family's 1533-position model. The record is from RNAcentral.
GACGAACGCUGGCGGCGUGCUUAACACAUGCAAGUCGAACGGAAAGGCCCUUCGGGGUACUCGAGUGGCGAACGGGUGAGUAACACGUGGGUGAUCUGCCCUGCACUUUGGGAUAAGCCUGGGAAACUGGGUCUAAUACCGAAUAGGACCGCGCGCUUCGUGGUGUGUGGUGGAAAGCUUUUGCGGUGUGGGAUGGGCCCGCGGCCUAUCAGCUUGUUGGUGGGGUAAUGGCCUACCAAGGCGACGACGGGUAGCCGGCCUGAGAGGGUGACCGGCCACACUGGGACUGAGAUACGGCCCAGACUCCUACGGGAGGCAGCAGUGGGGAAUAUUGCACAAUGGGCGCAAGCCUGAUGCAGCGACGCCGCGUGAGGGAUGACGGCCUUCGGGUUGUAAACCUCUUUCACCAGGGACGAAGCGCAAGUGACGGUACCUGGAGAAGAAGCACCGGCCAACUACGUG